AGUCUUUGCCCGAGCGCUUCCGAGAGCCAGUUCUGGACUGAUCGCCUUGGAUGGGAUACCGGGGGAGGGCAGAAGGACACUUGGCUUCCUCUCCAGGAAUCUGAGCGGCCCUGAGGUCCGGGGGCGCAGGGAAUCCCCUCUCCCGCCGCCGCCGCCGUGUCUGGUCUGUACGUCUUUAGAGGGUCGAGGAAGUCACGUCGGGACAGACUGGGGCGAGUAAGGUUAAGAAAGGCUGACAUGUUUUAUGUUUUAGUGACGACGCUUAAUAGGCUGUAUAUCUGCUCUAUAUGCAGCACAUACAUACAUAGCUUUUUAAAAAACUCUUAUUUUGUGGAAUGAAAUAGCUACCUUCAGUGUACAUAGCUGUAAUUUAUCUUUGUAGCUAAGUUGCUUUCAACAGAAGAAAUACUGUUCUCCGUACCUUCACCCCCUCCUUGUUUCUUGGAAAGAGAGGCGGGAAAGGUAAAUUCUCCUCAUAAUACUGGUCCUAAGCAGUUACCCUGUAAAUAGUUAAUGUGAGCUCCACGGGUCACCAAUAUAAAGUUUCCUGCCUUCUGAUGGACAAAGGAAGCGGCGAUGGCCAGAAUUUGCAGGGACGCUAAAUGUCCAAAACGUAUGCCUUAAGGCAUUUCUCUCCCUGAUGCGUGGAUUAUUUUGGUUACUAGCCCUUCAUAGGAGAUACUGGUAAAAUAAAUUCGAGUUUUAAAGUUCA
This 712-nucleotide long non-coding RNA is filed under the name Homo sapiens (human). RNAcentral's name for it is "non-protein coding PACERR:3". The record is from RNAcentral. Lineage: Eukaryota; Metazoa; Chordata; Mammalia; Primates; Hominidae.